RNAcentral lists this ribosomal RNA (470 nucleotides) under uncultured Streptococcus sp. Its description in RNAcentral is "bacterial SSU rRNA". It matches the Rfam family "Bacterial small subunit ribosomal RNA", at positions 907 to 1382 of the family's 1533-position model. Lineage: Bacteria; Bacillati; Bacillota; Bacilli; Lactobacillales; Streptococcaceae. The record is from RNAcentral.
UAGAAUUGACGGGGCCGCACAAGCGGUGGAGCAUGUGGUUUAAUCGAAGCAACGCGAGAACCUUACCAGGUCUUGACAUCCCGAUGCUAUUUCUAGAGAUAGAAGUUACUUCGGUACAUCGGUGACAGGUGGUGCAUGGUUGUCGUCAGCUCGUGUCGUGAGAUGUUGGGUUAAGUCCCGCAACGAGCGCAACCCCUAUUGUUAGUUGCCAUCAUUCAGUUGGGCACUCUAGCGAGACUGCCGGUAAUAAACCGGAGGAAGGUGGGAUGACGUCAAAUCAUCAUGCCCCUUAUGACCUGGGCUACACACGUGCUACAAUGGUUGGUACAACGAGUUGCGAGUCGGUGACGGCGAGCUAAUCUCUUAAAGCCAAUCUCAGUUCGGAUUGUAGGCUGCAACUCGCCUACAUGAAGUCGGAAUCGCUAGUAAUCGCGGAUCAGCACGCCGCGGUGAAUACGUUCCCGGGCCUU